CUACACUGCAGACUGUGAAGGACAGAUGAAGUUAAAAGCAGUCAUUAUGAUCAUGAUGCAAAAGAUGUGCAGAACAGCAAAGAGGAAAGUAAUAGAGGUGUCACUGUGACAUUUCCUCUGUGUGGUGUGAAAUUCCAAUAGAUGUGAAUGAAAAGCCAAAUCUUCUAAAAAAGCUUAAGUGGACAAGCUGUCUCUAACCUUGCAAAAUCAAUUCACCCGUAUUCACAGUUUUGAGGACCAAAUUGGGGAAGAAGGAAAACAAGUUCAGUGAGACGAAUUUCAUCCCCUACUUGGAAAUACAGAAUAGAAAUGUGUAGAGUCUGAUUGAAAAAAAUGUUGUGAGUGGUAGUGACUGCUUCAGAAACAAUUGGAUCACUGAAGAAACAUAAUGAAGUAUGAAUCUGCCAAGUUCCACAUACUUUGGGGAUAUCACAUACUUGCAGUCUUGCCAUGAGAAGUGGUAAUCACCACUGUCAUACAAUAAAAAUCUGAAGAAAAAUCCUUAGUCUUGAAGGAUUUGCUUUCUAACAGUACUAUUAAUGUCUUAAUGUAAUAUUAAUGUCUUAAUUAUUGCCGAUAUUGAAAAAUUAUUUUAAGUCUUGGUCAGACUUUUAUUUUGCUAUGCAGAGGUGUCCUAAAAAAUCAUGUUCAUCUUUAUCCUAAUAAAAGUAAUUAAAUUCCAUUCAAGGUCACUCAAGAUUAGAAUACAACCCCCUUGUUUUCAAAGGUGACUGGUUUUCUUUGCUUCCAUCAAGGGAAUUGUUGUCAGCAACAUAUUUGAGCAAUUUAUCACAUCACAUUACAUAUACUUACCUUUGUCAAGUUUUCUCUCUCUGCAAAUGCUAUACCAUUUCAAACUUUUCUAGUGGUAAUUCUAUGAAGGAUAUUUUGUUAUUAUUUUCCAACAAUGUAAUACAUGUAUUAUUCUACAUGUAUGCUUGUAUAAUUUUUCAUUAUUGUAAACACAGAUAAGAACAUAGUGUUCAAUAUGGAUACUUCUACAGUAUGGACCUUAGAACUUUACAAAAACAUUUCUUAUUUAUUUAACUUCUUUGUUG
Molecule: long non-coding RNA, 1058 nt
Organism: Myiozetetes cayanensis
Lineage: Eukaryota; Metazoa; Chordata; Aves; Passeriformes; Tyrannidae
Exons: 4
Source: RefSeq, a predicted model, not a curated record